RNAcentral lists this long non-coding RNA (433 nucleotides) under Homo sapiens (human). RNAcentral's name for it is "non-protein coding lnc-RNF32-1:1". Lineage: Eukaryota; Metazoa; Chordata; Mammalia; Primates; Hominidae. The record is from RNAcentral.
AUGAAGUUCAAUCCCUUUGCGACUUCCAACCGAAACAAGAACCACAAAAGGCAUUUCAAUGCACCUUCCCACAUUUACAGGAAGACUAUGUCUUCCCCUCUUUCCAAAGAGCUGAGACAGAAGUACAACGUGUGAUCCAUGCCCAUCCAAAAGGAUGAUGAAGUUCAGGUUGUACGAGGACACUAUAAAGGUUAGCCAAUUGGCAGAGUAGUCCAGGUUUACAGGAAGAAAUAUGUCCUCUACAUCGAACGGGUGCAGUGGGAAAAGGCUAAUGGCACAACUGUCCAUGUAGGCAUUCACCCCAGCAAGGUGGUUAUCACUAGGCUAAAACUGGACAUAGACCGCAAAAAGAUUCUUGAACAGAAAGCCAAAUCUCGCCAAGUAGGAAAAGGGCAAAUACAAGGAAGAAACAAUUGAGAAGAUGCAGGAAUAA